Molecule: long non-coding RNA, 2484 nt
Organism: Esox lucius (northern pike)
Lineage: Eukaryota; Metazoa; Chordata; Actinopteri; Esociformes; Esocidae
Exons: 3
Source: RefSeq, a predicted model, not a curated record
AUUAACUAUAUUGCCUUGUAAAUUUCAAUGAUGGCUUUUAUUUUGAAAAAGAAAUCUCAGUGCCGCCAGCAUUUUUCACGGAAGUCCCUAUGGCGCUGUCUCAUGUGCUGAAAUAAGGUUGCUGUGAUGCCGCAUGUUCUAACCCCCAUUUUACGAUAUUUUAAUAUUAAUCUCUGGAACCCAAAAUAUUCCCAAACAACAGAAGAUUCCUCAUUUUUUGUUACCAAAAAAUCGCUUGUGUCUUUCUCAUUGUCCUUAUUUCCUUUCACAUGUUUUUCACAAAACCUUCCUUUUCGACUUUUUUGGAAAGGAAAGAAAAAUGUGCAGUGGUCUCAAUUUAUUUCGAAGCUGUAUGUGUUCACUGACAAGCUCAUGCCGUUCGCUUACUUAUUAUUUUUAAUUAGACAAACAGAUUAAAAAAUCUACUCCUAAUAAAUUGUAUACAAAUACGAAAAUGAUUAUAGCAAAGGUAUACAAUAAUUAUUUUGAUUGAGCGUGAAAAUAAAAUAAAAACCAAAAUUGCAGCCUUCUGCUUUAAGGGCUUUAAAGCCUCGAUCACGACUUGGCCAGACCAGAUCCGCCAAUUUUGUUGUAUCGUUUUGUUGCAAGCCCUUUCCUACACAUGAUUUUUUUGAUUAUGACGCAUCUAUGGAGCCUGAUAUGUGCGGUCGCCGGUUAACAUGACCUUUUCGAUUUGUCAGACGAUAUUUAUAGACAUGAAUGCUACAAAUAACGCAUGGAGGAAGAUUUCUUCAUGUUCAUUGGAAAUGACUGAACUUCCGUUGUUACGCAUAUGCAUGACGGAUUUGGUCUGGUCAAGGAUGUCAUAGAUGAGCAGCUAUACAUCACUUUCCUCUCGUCCGAACAACCACGCCCCCUUUUGGGGGAACGCUAGCGCUGUAAAAGUGUAGAAGACAACGGCGCAAAAUUGGAAAUAUUACUGGUACCAUGCCUAAAAGCUGCUGUGUUGUAAUUUGUGCGUCGAAUAAGAUUUUAGUUUUAAACACAGUUAACGCUUUUCUUUACUUCACAAAAAAGCAAAGGACAGCAAAAGAAGAGAUCUGUGGCUUCAGGCCAUCUGCAGAGAGGGUGAAAAUGGUCAACUAUGGGACCCUUCCAGUCGACACGUUUGACUGGAAAACACGUAAUCACAGGUUAGUUAAUGAUGCCGAAGUCAACAAAGUCAAAAAAGUGAAUGUUGAUCCUGUAUUGAAAAGGCAGUGCAUAGAACAUUCUGAAAAUUCACUUCCCUGAAGUGAUUUUAUCUCAUGAUUAUCUUCAUAAUAAUCCCAAUUCAAAGUGUGUCUAAAUGCUACAUUAAUGCCAUUCUAAGAAGAUUAUAGGGAAUUGAAUCUUCAAAAAUGUUAUUAAGCAAUAGAUGUAAUUGUUCAUUGCAAUCUAUUGUAGCAAUACACAUCAUUCAUUUGUGAGAUAUAAUUAAUUGUACAGUCCAUAAUUAGAAAUGGUGACUUCAGUAAAGUAUCAACUGUUUGGGUGGCCAUAGUCCAAACAUUCAUUAUGCGUUAUCAAUUACUUUAUGAAUACAUAUUUGACGAGUGCUUUUAACCAAAGCUGUCUAAAUGUCUUUUGGACCAGUAUCUGCCUUUAGCUUACAUUUAUCCUAUUGGUUUCAGGAUUGAAUGUGAAUCAUUGCCAGCAGCCAGAUUUACAUUGGCAGCAAUUGAAAGAAUGUCAAGUAAGGUUAUGGCGCUACAAAAAUGCGGGGAAGGAGAGGCUGGUGUUGAUAAUAGGGUUCCUGUCUGCCUAAAGUCGAAAAUGGGCACCGACCGAAGCUUCUCCCAUUGAUCCGACUGAAGCUUCACUCACAGAGCUUCUCCCACUGAAGUUUUACUCACUGAAGCUUCUCCCACUGAACCCAUUGAAGAUGGUGCACAGAGCGACAGGCCAGUUUCACACAAUGAGCAGAUUGCAAUUGCAAUACAGAAUCCAUCAGGGCUUUGCUGAGCCAAAUACUGGACCCACAGUCUACCAUCCGCAGCAUCUUCCAACGUUGGCCGAAUCUUCUGUAUGCAGAGAUGACCUUCCUCAUUCACGGGCCUGACAGGGAGUGCAUCACACAAACCAUAACACCAGCAAUGAAGGCCAAAUUUCACAUUAAUUAUUGAUUGCUUUGAAUUGAACAUUCAAAGGCCCUUAAAGCCAGGUAGACACAUAAGAAAUAUGCAAUUUAUGAUCACAUGGCCAGGUAGCUUUUGAACAAUAACCAUGUUUAAUUUUUCUUAAUUUUUUCCACAGAGCAAAAAACACACUCCAGUUACAAGAAGUGAACUAUAGUCAAAUAUUUUAUUGUGUGUAGUCCUGCAGGCAGCAUCUGCUUCUUGUCCACAGGCUGGGGUGGACGAGCAUCUGAUGUUAAGAUAGUGAGGGAAUCUGGCUCCUUUUACCACUGUACCACCAUCCUGGGGACCAGGUAAUGUGGCCAGCAGUCUAAGCAGAGAUGCCCAGACUUCCCACUCCCUAGAC